AAAGGAAACCAAUUAAAAGGCAAUUAAGCUCCUGUAAAAUUGUGGGGCAUGGAAAAAAACAGCUCAAUAAACAAACACUCCUGGAGAAAACUAACUUUGAACUCACCUUGGACACAAGGUGGUGAAGUACUGCAUGUUUUAUUAAGUAAGUUAAUUGCAUGUUGGAAAAAGGCCUCGGGUAAUGCCUCCAGGCUGAAGACGGAGUAUUCUCCUCUGCACAGGACAGCCUGGGUUACCCAACAUUCCACAGCCACAGUCCAUAGGAACCAGAGAAGAGCUGCACCAAACAUGGACUUGAUGUAGAUAACAACAAACAAGACAAAGCCAACAGUAAUUGGUGGAUGCCUUCUGGCUAUAUUCCCUUUAUGGAAAAAGGGUUCCCAGAAGUAUAACCUUGAAAUGCCAAUGCAAGAAAUCAGAGGGUUAGAAAUGGACUGAUACAGCAAGAAUGAAGAGAGGUGCAUACAGCAAACAUUCUUCCGUAUAAACAAGAGACAGUACCAUGAUAUCUAUCCAUCCAUCCAUUUCCUAAACCACUCAUAUCUGGUCAAGGUCAGGGGGUUGGGGAUAGAGCAUAUCCCAGCAUGCAGUGGACGAGAGGCAGGA
This is a long non-coding RNA of Anguilla anguilla (European eel), 606 nucleotides long. RefSeq lists it as uncharacterized. The record is from RefSeq and is a predicted model, not a curated record. The transcript is spliced from 3 exons. Lineage: Eukaryota; Metazoa; Chordata; Actinopteri; Anguilliformes; Anguillidae.